CCGGCUAACUCCGUGCCAGCAGCCGCGGUAAUACGGAGGAUGCAAGCGUUAUCCGGAAUCACUGGGUUUAAAGGGUGCGUAGGCGGAUUAAUAAGUCAGUGGUGAAAUCCUGUCGCUUAACGAUAGAACCUGCCAUUGAUACAUGAUAUGUCUUGAAUUCGGGUUGAGGUGGGCGGAAUGUANNCAUGUAGCGGUGAAAUGCGUAGAUAUGCUACAGAACACCGAUUGCGAAGGCAGCUCACUGGACUACAUCUGACGCUAAUGGACGAAAGCGUGGGUAGCGAACAGGAUUAGAUACCCUGGUAGUCCACGCCCUAAACGAUGUUUACUCGACAUAUGGACAAUUGGGUGUAUGUGUCUAAGCGAAAGCGUUAAGUAAACCACCUGGGGAGUACGUCGGCAACGAUGAAACUCAAAUG
Molecule: ribosomal RNA, 419 nt
Filed under: uncultured Lewinella sp.
Lineage: Bacteria; Pseudomonadati; Bacteroidota; Saprospiria; Saprospirales; Lewinellaceae
Description: bacterial SSU rRNA
Rfam family: Bacterial small subunit ribosomal RNA
Source: RNAcentral